AGUGAACGCUGGCGGUAGGCCUAACACAUGCAAGUCGAACGGCAGCACAGGAGAGCUUGCUCUCUGGGUGGCGAGUGGCGGACGGGUGAGGAAUACAUCUGAAUCUACUCUGUCGUGGGGGAUAACGUAGGGAAACUUACGCUAAUACCGCAUACGACCUACGGGUGAAAGCAGGGGAUCUUCGGACCUUGCGCGAUUGAAUGAGCCGAUGUCGGAUUAGCUAGUUGGCGGGGUAAAGGCCCACCAAGGCGACGAUCCGUAGCUGGUCUGAGAGGAUGAUCAGCCACACUGGAACUGAGACACGGUCCGGACUCCUACGGGAGGCAGCAGUGGGGAAUAUUGGACAAUGGGCGCAAGCCUGAUCCAGCCAUACCGCGUGGGUGAAGAAGGCCUUCGGGUUGUAAGGCCCUUUUGUUGGGAAAGAAAUCCAGCUGGCUAAUACCCGGUUGGGAUGACGGUACCCAAAGAAUAAGCACCGGCUAACUUCGUGCCAGCCGCCGCAGUAA
RNAcentral lists this ribosomal RNA (506 nucleotides) under uncultured bacterium. RNAcentral describes it as "partial 16S ribosomal RNA". It matches the Rfam family "Bacterial small subunit ribosomal RNA", at positions 29 to 523 of the family's 1533-position model. The record is from RNAcentral.